This 261-nucleotide unclassified non-coding RNA is filed under the name Hevea brasiliensis (rubber tree). The record is from RNAcentral. Lineage: Eukaryota; Viridiplantae; Streptophyta; Magnoliopsida; Malpighiales; Euphorbiaceae.
AUUUAACUUAAUAGUUAGUAGUUGUAUCAUUUUUUAUGAGUAUGAUUGAGGACAUGCAUAGUAUGAUUGUGUUGGUUGAUUUGCAAUUAUGUAAUGGAGUGCAUGAGGAUCAGUUACCAACCUUUUAUGUUAGAGAACCAUAGCUAGACUUAGUGUGGCUGGACUGAACUUGAACUACUGUCCUGUAAUUUGAUGUUUUUNGAUGAGCCAUAGCUUGAUGCUUUGUUUUUGAAAAAACAUCAAAUUACAGGACAGUAGUUC